RNAcentral lists this ribosomal RNA (321 nucleotides) under Nitrosospira sp. RNAcentral describes it as "bacterial SSU rRNA". It matches the Rfam family "Bacterial small subunit ribosomal RNA", at positions 188 to 490 of the family's 1533-position model. Lineage: Bacteria; Pseudomonadati; Pseudomonadota; Betaproteobacteria; Nitrosomonadales; Nitrosomonadaceae. The record is from RNAcentral.
UAAUCUCUACGGAGAAAAGCAGGGGAUCGCAAGACCUUGCGCUCUUUGAGCGGCCGAUGUCUGAUUAGCUAGUUGGUGAGGUAAAGGCUUACCAAGGCGACGAUCAGUAGCUGGUCUGAGAGGACGACCAGCCACACUGGGACUGAGACACGGCCCAGACUCCUACGGGAGGCAGCAGUGGGGAAUUUUGGACAAUGGGGGAAACCCUGAUCCAGCCAUGCCGCGUGAGUGAAGAAGGCCUUCGGGUUGUAAAGCUCUUUCAGCCGGAACGAAACGGUCACGGCUAAUACCUGUGACUACUGACGGUACCGGAAGAAGAAG